Molecule: ribosomal RNA, 2357 nt
Filed under: Klebsiella oxytoca
Lineage: Bacteria; Pseudomonadati; Pseudomonadota; Gammaproteobacteria; Enterobacterales; Enterobacteriaceae
Description: partial 23S ribosomal RNA
Rfam family: Bacterial large subunit ribosomal RNA
Source: RNAcentral
GGGUGACUGCGUACCUUUUGUAUAAUGGGUCAGCGACUUAUAUUCUGUAGCAAGGUUAACCGUAUAGGGGAGCCGCAGGGAAACCGAGUCUUAACUGGGCGUUAAGUUGCAGGGUAUAGACCCGAAACCCGGUGAUCUAGCCAUGGGCAGGUUGAAGGUUGGGUAACACUAACUGGAGGACCGAACCGACUAAUGUUGAAAAAUUAGCGGAUGACUUGUGGCUGGGGGUGAAAGGCCAAUCAAACCGGGAGAUAGCUGGUUCUCCCCGAAAGCUAUUUAGGUAGCGCCUCGUGAAUUCAUCUUCGGGGGUAGAGCACUGUUUCGGCUAGGGGGUCAUCCCGACUUACCAACCCGAUGCAAACUACGAAUACCGAAGAAUGUUAUCACGGGAGACACACGGCGGGUGCUAACGUCCGUCGUGAAGAGGGAAACAACCCAGACCGCCAGCUAAGGUCCCAAAGUCAUGGUUAAGUGGGAAACGAUGUGGGAAGGCCCAGACAGCCAGGAUGUUGGCUUAGAAGCAGCCAUCAUUUAAAGAAAGCGUAAUAGCUCACUGGUCGAGUCGGCCUGCGCGGAAGAUGUAACGGGGCUAAACCAUGCACCGAAGCUGCGGCAGCGACACUAUGUGUUGUUGGGUAGGGGAGCGUUCUGUAAGCCGUUGAAGGUGGCCUGUGAGGGUUGCUGGAGGUAUCAGAAGUGCGAAUGCUGACAUAAGUAACGAUAAUGCGGGUGAAAAACCCGCACGCCGGAAGACCAAGGGUUCCUGUCCAACGUUAAUCGGGGCAGGGUGAGUCGACCCCUAAGGCGAGGCCGAAAGGCGUAGUCGAUGGGAAACAGGUUAAUAUUCCUGUACUUGGUGUUACUGCGAAGGGGGGACGGAGAAGGCUAUGUUGGCCGGGCGACGGUUGUCCCGGUUUAAGCAUGUAGGCGGAUGUUCCAGGUAAAUCCGGAGCGUCACUAACGCUGAGGUGUGAUGACGAGGCACUACGGUGCUGAAGUGACAAAUGCCCUGCUUCCAGGAAAAGCCUCUAAGCAUCAGGUAACAUCAAAUCGUACCCCAAACCGACACAGGUGGUCAGGUAGAGAAUACCAAGGCGCUUGAGAGAACUCGGGUGAAGGAACUAGGCAAAAUGGUGCCGUAACUUCGGGAGAAGGCACGCUGAUGGUAGGUGAAGUGACUUGCUCAUGGAGCUGAAAUCAGUCGAAGAUACCAGCUGGCUGCAACUGUUUAUUAAAAACACAGCACUGUGCAAACACGAAAGUGGACGUAUACGGUGUGACGCCUGCCCGGUGCCGGAAGGUUAAUUGAUGGGGUUAUCCUCGCGGAGAAGCUCUUGAUCGAAGCCCCGGUAAACGGCGGCCGUAACUAUAACGGUCCUAAGGUAGCGAAAUUCCUUGUCGGGUAAGUUCCGACCUGCACGAAUGGCGUAAUGAUGGCCAGGCUGUCUCCACCCGAGACUCAGUGAAAUUGAACUCGCUGUGAAGAUGCAGUGUACCCGCGGCAAGACGGAAAGACCCCGUGAACCUUUACUAUAGCUUGACACUGAACACUGGUCCUUGAUGUGUAGGAUAGGUGGGAGGCUUUGAAGUGUGGACGCCAGUCUGCAUGGAGCCGUCCUUGAAAUACCACCCUUUAAUGGCUGGUGUUCUAACGUGGGCCCGUGAUCCGGGUUGCGGACAGUGUCUGGUGGGUAGUUUGACUGGGGCGGUCUCCUCCUAAAGAGUAACGGAGGAGCACGAAGGUCAGCUAAUCCUGGUCGGACAUCAGGAGGUUAGUGCAAUGGCAUAAGCUGGCUUGACUGCGAGCGUGACGGCGCGAGCAGGUGCGAAAGCAGGUCAUAGUGAUCCGGUGGUUCUGAAUGGAAGGGCCAUCGCUCAACGGAUAAAAGGUACUCCGGGGAUAACAGGCUGAUACCGCCCAAGAGUUCAUAUCGACGGCGGUGUUUGGCACCUCGAUGUCGGCUCAUCACAUCCUGGGGCUGAAGUAGGUCCCAAGGGUAUGGCUGUUCGCCAUUUAAAGUGGUACGCGAGCUGGGUUUAGAACGUCGUGAGACAGUUCGGUCCCUAUCUGCCGUGGGCGCUGGAGAAUUGAGGGGGGCUGCUCCUAGUACGAGAGGACCGGAGUGGACGCAUCACUGGUGUUCGGGUUGUCAUGCCAAUGGCAUUGCCCGGUAGCUAAAUGCGGAAGAGAUAAGUGCUGAAAGCAUCUAAGCACGAAACUUGCCCCGAGAUGAGUUCUCCCUGACUCCUUGAGAGUCCUGAAGGAACGUUGAAGACGACGACGUUGAUAGGCCGGGUGUGUAAGCGCAGCGAUGCGUUGAGCUAACCGGUACUAAUGAACCGUGAGGCUUAACCUU